CGGAUCCUACGGGAGGCAGCAGUGAGGAAUAUUGGUCAAUGGGAGAGAUCCUGAACCAGCCAAGCCGCGUGAGGGAAGACUGCCCUAUGGGUUGUAAACCUCUUUUGUCAGGGAGCAACGCCGGCUACGUGUAGCCGGACUGAGAGUACCUGAAGAAAAAGCAUCGGCUAACUCCGUGCCAGCAGCCGCGGUAAUACGGAGGAUGCGAGCGUUAUCCGGAUUUAUUGGGUUUAAAGGGUGCGUAGGCGGAAUGCCAAGUCAGCGGUAAAAUCGCGGGGCUCAACCUCGCUCCGCCGUUGAAACUG
Molecule: ribosomal RNA, 305 nt
Filed under: uncultured bacterium
Lineage: Bacteria
Description: bacterial SSU rRNA
Rfam family: Bacterial small subunit ribosomal RNA
Source: RNAcentral